CGCGAAUGGCUCAUUCAACAGCCAUAGUUUAUUGGAUGUUUACGUUCCUACAAGGACACCUGCGGUAAUUCUGGAGCUAAUACUUGCGAAAUGCGACAGCCUCACGGGAGUCGUGCAUUUAUUAGAUUAAACCAAUCGGUCCUUCGGGACCGCCAUUUGGUGAACUCUGAAUAACUUAGCUGAUCGCACAGUCUCGUGCUGGCGACAAAUCUUUCAAGUGUCUGCCUUAUCAACUUUCGAUGGUAGUUCAUACGACUACCAUGGUUGUAACGGGUAACGGAGAAUAAGGGUUCGACUCCGGAGAGGGAGCCUGAGAAACGGCUCCCACAUCCAAGGAAGGCAGCAGGCGCGCAAAUUACCCACUCGCAGAACGCGGAGGUAGUGACGAAAAAUAACGAGGUGGCUCUCUAUGAGGUCCAUCAUCGGAAUGGGUACAAUUUAAAUCCUUUAACGAGGAUCUAUUGGAGGGCAAGUCUGGUGCCAGCAGCCGCGGUAAUUCCAGCU
Molecule: ribosomal RNA, 504 nt
Filed under: Trichodorus primitivus
Lineage: Eukaryota; Metazoa; Nematoda; Enoplea; Triplonchida; Trichodoridae
Description: SSU rRNA
Rfam family: Eukaryotic small subunit ribosomal RNA
Source: RNAcentral